AGCCCCGUAGGGUAGUGGACAAUCCUGUCGGGCUUUGGACCCGGCGACGCAGGUUCGAAUCCUGCCGGGGCUA
Molecule: transfer RNA, 73 nt
Filed under: Candidatus Altarchaeales archaeon
Lineage: Archaea; Nanobdellati; Candidatus Altarchaeota; Candidatus Altarchaeia; Candidatus Altarchaeales
Also listed under: 1 other name
Description: Candidatus Altiarchaeales archaeon tRNA-Gln
Rfam family: tRNA
About the family: Transfer RNA (tRNA) molecules are approximately 80 nucleotides in length. Their secondary structure includes four short double-helical elements and three loops (D, anti-codon, and T loops).
Source: RNAcentral